UACGUAGGGUGCAAGCGUUGUCCGGAAUUAUUGGGCGUAAAGAGCUCGUAGGCGGUCCGUCACGUCGGAUGUGAAAUUCCAGGGCUCAACCCUGGACCUGCAUUCGAUACGGGCGGACUAGAGUUCGGUAGGGGAGACUGGAAUUCCUGGUGUAGCGGUGAAAUGCGUAGAUAUCAGGAGGAACACCGGUGGCGAAGGCGGCUCUCUGGGACGGUACUGACGCUGAGACGCGAAAGCGUGGGGAGCGAACAGG
This 253-nucleotide ribosomal RNA is filed under the name uncultured bacterium. Its description in RNAcentral is "partial 16S ribosomal RNA". It matches the Rfam family "Bacterial small subunit ribosomal RNA", at positions 524 to 776 of the family's 1533-position model. The record is from RNAcentral.